This 500-nucleotide ribosomal RNA is filed under the name uncultured bacterium. RNAcentral's name for it is "partial 16S ribosomal RNA". It matches the Rfam family "Bacterial small subunit ribosomal RNA", at positions 30 to 523 of the family's 1533-position model. The record is from RNAcentral.
AUUGAACGCUGGCGGAAUGCUUUACACAUGCAAGUCGAACGGCAGCACGGGGGCAACCCUGGUGGCGAGUGGCGAACGGGUGAGUAAUACAUCGGAACGUGCCCAGUCGUGGGGGAUAACGUAGCGAAAGUUACGCUAAUACCGCAUACGAUCUACGGAUGAAAGCGGGGGACCGUAAGGCCUCGCGCGAUUGGAGCGGCCGAUGUCAGAUUAGGUAGUUGGUGAGGUAAAGGCUCACCAAGCCGACGAUCUGUAGCUGGUCUGAGAGGACGACCAGCCACAUUGGGACUGAGACACGGCCCGGGCUCCUACGGGAGGCAGUAGUGGGGAAUUUUGGACAAUGGGCGCAAGCCUGAUCCAGCCAUUCCGCGUGCAGGACGAAGGCCUUCGGGUUGUAAACUGCUUUUGUACGGAACGAAAAGGCUCUGGUUAAUACCUGGGGCUCAUGACGGUACCGUAAGAAUAAGCACCGGCUAACUACGUGCCAGCCGCCGCGGUAA